Molecule: long non-coding RNA, 1375 nt
Organism: Homo sapiens (human)
Lineage: Eukaryota; Metazoa; Chordata; Mammalia; Primates; Hominidae
Product: long intergenic non-protein coding RNA 343
Source: Ensembl
GGCUAUGGGAAAGAAACCUGGAAAGGUAGGGAGGUAUGGAUAUGGACAAGCUAUGCCAAGGAGCAGGGCUUUGUCAUGGAGAGUGACUAGGUGCUUUUACAUAGGAAAGUCACCUGAUAAUAUUAAAACCUGUGAAAUAUCACUCUGGUGGAAGUGUGAAUGAAUUUGAAAGGGGUGUAACACUGUUCUACUUUGUUUACUCCUCAGUACCCUUGGCUGUGUACAUUUGAGUAAAGAGAGCACUAUAAAAUCAAAAACCAAUGAAAUGGUUUCCAGAACACAGAACUAUUAAGCUUAAGAAAAGGACAGAAGGAACUGAAGAGAGAGGAACUGUUUUGGAGCAUCACACUUCCACCUCAGAAGAAAUAAGGAAGGAAGGAGGAGGGUGUUCCCACGGCUCUUCAACCAGGCCGGCUCUUCAGCCUACAUCCCCAUCUCAUCAAGUAAAAGGGAUUUUUCAACUGGACCAACCAGAUGGUUUAACAGUGCACUCCCACACCAUUCAACUACGCAAGGGAGAUACACUUAACAUAUGCAGUCGUAUAACACCUACUAACAUUUUCAAACAUUAAACCUUUAAAAAAGAGUUCUAAAGAAAUAGAAGCUUGAAGUAUCAUCUCUCAAGUAUAUAGACACUACUUCAUGGUGUGGUAAUAUAUGCAUAUAGAAGCUAGUAAACACCUCCAGGAGAUGCAAAAGGAAUUAGAACUGCCACAAGGUGCAAGCAAAACCUUGAGGUAAUCAAUCUGCAUCCCAUUUUGGAUGAGAAUAUUUGCAACUUUGAAGGUUAUUUUAAGGACAGCAGCAGAAGAAUUAUGGCAGCUCUUCACGGAAAAAAAAAUGGCAACAAUAAAAUCAGCAACUCCUGCCAAAUAAAUGGGCAUAAAAAAGAAAUCAUAGACUGCUGGCAAUGGUGGGGAAAAAGUUAUAAAAAUUGUCUCUGCACCAUCUUCCUUUUGUCCUCUAAAAUAUUCACAUUAGCAAAAGUAUAUAACAGCUGAUGAAGAAAUACUGAUAAUUUGUCUUUGUAAGUAUAUCGAAAACAUUUCAAGAUCUAGAAAUUUGAAAUUGUUGACAAGUAUUUAUCUGUUUAUUCACAAAUUUGAAAUCAACCUCAGGAAUGCUCAUUCUGAUUGAUAUACUUAGGUCAUAAAUUUUUAAGACCACAGAUUUCCAGGGACUUUUUGGAAAAUCACCCAGUAAAACAAUGUCUUUUUGCAGGGGACUAGCUUCAGUAUUUUGGCUUCUUUUUGCUUCUUUGCAACAAAUUGGGAGACAAAGGUGGGAAAGUUUUUUUCAAUAAGUUAAUAAUUUUUUAAAGGUCAAAAUUUUGUUCUUUGCUUAUAUUAGAAUUAAACACUGUGAGAUUCUCUCU